Molecule: unclassified non-coding RNA, 356 nt
Filed under: soil metagenome
Description: partial contains 5.8S ribosomal RNA, internal transcribed spacer 2, and large subunit ribosomal RNA
Rfam family: 5.8S ribosomal RNA (bases 1-120)
Source: RNAcentral
GAUGAAGAACGUAGCGAAAUGCGAUAAGUAGUGUGAAUUGCAGAAUUCAGUGAAUCAUCGAAUCUUUGAACGCACAUUGCGCCCGCCAGUAUUCUGGCGGGCAUGCCUGUCCGAGCGUCAUUUCAACCCUCGAACCCCUCCGGGGGGUCGGCGUUGGGGAUCGGGAACCCCUAAGACGGGAUCCCGGCCCCGAAAUACAGUGGCGGUCUCGCCGCAGCCUCUCCUGCGCAGUAGUUUGCACAACUCGCACCGGGAGCGCGGCGCGUCCACGUCCGUAAAACACCCAACUUCUGAAAUGUUGACCUCGGAUCAGGUAGGAAUACCCGCUGAACUUAAGCAUAUCAAUAAGCGGAGGA